RNAcentral lists this ribosomal RNA (466 nucleotides) under uncultured bacterium. RNAcentral describes it as "bacterial SSU rRNA". It matches the Rfam family "Bacterial small subunit ribosomal RNA", at positions 329 to 792 of the family's 1533-position model. The record is from RNAcentral.
CUCCAGACUCCUACGGGAGGCAGCAGUGAGGAAUAUUGGUCAAUGGGCGGGAGCCUGAACCAGCCAAGCCGCGUGAGGGAAGAAGGUACAGCGUAUCGUAAACCUCUUUUGUCAGGGAACAAAGGCGGGGACUAGUCCCCGGAUGAGGGUACCUGAAGAAAAAGCAUCGGCUAACUCCGUGCCAGCAGCCGCGGUAAUACGUAGGUGGCAAGCGUUGUCCGGAUUUACUGGGUGUAGAGGGCGUGUAGCCGGGCUGACAAGUCAGAUGUGAAAUUCCGGGGCUCAACCCCGGACCUGCAUUUGAAACUGUUGGUCUUGAGUAUCGGAGAGGCAGGCGGAAUUCCUAGUGUAGCGGUGAAAUGCGUAGAUAUUAGGAGGAACACCAGUGGCGAAGGCGGCCUGCUGGACGACAACUGACGGUGAGGCGCGAAAGCGUGGGGAGCAAACAGGAUUAGAUACCCCGGUA